AUAAAUAGUCUGAGGUUAGGUGCCCGAAAGGGCUUAAUAGGGAAGUCCGGUGUAAGGCCGGCGCGGUCCCGCCACUGUAAUGAGGAGCAAAGCCAAGAUAUGCCACUGGGAGAAAUCCUGGGAAGGUUUGGUUGCGCGAUGAUUCUGAGCCAGGAGAACUGCCUAGCUGUUAGUCACCGU
RNAcentral lists this non-coding RNA (180 nucleotides) under Propionispora sp. 2/2-37. The record is from RNAcentral. RNAcentral also lists the same sequence under 1 other name. Lineage: Bacteria; Bacillati; Bacillota; Negativicutes; Selenomonadales; Sporomusaceae.